GAUGAACGCUGGCGGCGCGCCUAACACAUGCAAGUCGAACGGCACCUAUCUUCGGAUAGAAGCGAGUGGCGAACGGCUGAGUAACACGUGGAGAACCUGCCCCCUCCCCCGGGAUAGCCGCCCGAAAGGACGGGUAAUACCGGAUACCCCCGGGCGCCGCAUGGCGCCCGGGCUAAAGCCCCGACGGGAGGGGAUGGCUCCGCGGCCCAUCAGGUAGACGGCGGGGUGACGGCCCACCGUGCCGACAACGGGUAGCCGGGUUGAGAGACCGACCGGCCAGAUUGGGACUGAGACACGGCCCAGACUCCUACGGGAGGCAGCAGUGGGGAAUCUUGCGCAAUGGGGGGAACCCUGACGCAGCGACGCCGCGUGCGGGACGGAGGCCUUCGGGUCGUAAACCGCUUUCAGCAGGGAAGAGUCAAGACUGUACCUGCAGAAGAAGCCCCGGCUAACUACGUGCCAGCAGCCGCGGUAAUACGUAGGGGGCGAGCGUUAUCCGGAUUCAUUGGGCGUAAAGCGCGCGUAGGCGGCCCGGCAGGCCGGGGGUCGAAGCGGGGGGCUCAACCCCCCGAAGCCCCCGGAACCUCCGCGGCUUGGGUCCGGUAGGGGAGGGUGGAACACCCGGUGUAGCGGUGGAAUGCGCAGAUAUCGGGUGGAACACCGGUGGCGAAGGCGGCCCUCUGGGCCGAGACCGACGCUGAGGCGCGAAAGCUGGGGGAGCGAACAGGAUUAGAUACCCUGGUAGUCCCAGCCGUAAACGAUGGACAGCGGGGUGUGGGGGGACGAUCCCCCCGUGCCCCAGCCAACGCAUUAAGCGUCCCGCCUGGGGAGUACGGCCGCAAGGGUAAAACUCAAAGGAAUUGACGGGGGCCCGCACAAGCAGCGGAGCAUGUGGCUUAAUUCGAAGCAACGCGAAGAACCUUACCAGGGCUUGACAUAUGGGUGAAGCGGGGGAGACCCCGUGGCCGAGAGGAGCCCAUACAGGUGGUGCAUGGCUGUCGUCAGCUCGUGUCGUGAGAUGUUGGGUUAAGUCCCGCAACGAGCGCAACCCCCGCCGCGUGUUGCCAUCGGGUGAUGCCGGGAACCCACGCGGGACCGCCGCCGUCAAGGCGGAGGAGGGCGGGGACGACGUCAAGUCAUCAUGCCCCUUAUGCCCUGGGCUGCACACGUGCUACAAUGGCCGGUACAGAGGGAUGCCACCCCGCGAGGGGGAGCGGAUCCCGGAAAGCCGGCCCCAGUUCGGAUUGGGGGCUGCAACCCGCCCCCAUGAAGUCGGAGUUGCUAGUAAUCGCGGAUCAGCAUGCCGCGGUGAAUGCGUUCCCGGGCCUUGCAC
RNAcentral lists this ribosomal RNA (1333 nucleotides) under uncultured bacterium. Its description in RNAcentral is "16S ribosomal RNA". It matches the Rfam family "Bacterial small subunit ribosomal RNA", at positions 28 to 1386 of the family's 1533-position model. The record is from RNAcentral.